GAUGAAGAACGCAGCGAAAUGCGAUACUUGGUAUGAAUUGCAGAAUCCCGUGAACCAUCGAGUCUUUGAACGCAAGUUGCGCCCGAAGCCUCGGCUAAGGGCACGUCUGCCUGGGCGUCACGCAUCGCGUCUCCCCCAAACCGCCAAGGCGGAGGGGAAGGAAGAUGGCUUCCCGUGCCUCACCCGGCGCGGUUGGCCUAAAUUUGGAGCCCGCGGCACUUAGCUCUCGCGGCGAUAGGUGGUGAACAAGGCCUUGGCCGUGCAAACAACCCGCUGCGAAGCUCUAUGUCACGUGCGCUCGUCGGACCCUUUGAAGUUGCCUUCGGUGACUUAAAACCUUUGCGACCCCAGGUCAGGCGGGGCUACCCGCUGAAUUUAAGCAUAUCAAUAAGCGGAGGA
Molecule: unclassified non-coding RNA, 399 nt
Filed under: soil metagenome
Description: partial contains 5.8S ribosomal RNA, internal transcribed spacer 2, and large subunit ribosomal RNA
Rfam family: 5.8S ribosomal RNA (bases 1-120)
Source: RNAcentral